AUUUGCACUUUAUAAUGCCAUUGGUAUUUUAUUAUUAUUUUAUUUUACUAUUAUUUAUUUAUAUAUUUAUUUUAUUAUUAUUUUAUUUUUAUUAUUAUUUUACUACUACAAGAGCCUGUUCAAGACACACCAAAAAAAAUGUAAAAACACCCUGAUUUUCAAGGGUAAAAAGCAAAAAAAAAAAAACGUUAAAACACCACCGGUUUUCAAGGAAAACGCCCUGAUUUUCAAGGGCAAACAGAAAAGCAAAAAAAAUCGUGGGUCCAUAGUGCACACAGCAAUUAUUUCAAGGAUUUUAUCUUGUUUUUAAAGGUAUAUUUAAAAAAUAAAUAUUUCAAGGGUUUUCAUAAUAUAUUUAAAAAAGCAAAUAUUUCAAGGAUUUCGGCCUACCAAUUCGGCCAAGAAAAUUCGGUGUAUACCCAAACGGAACCACUAAAAUCUGUUCAUUUUUGGUUAUUUAUUUUUAAUUGCUUCACAUUUUUUUAUUGUUCCAACGGAUAGAAAUUUUAUUCUAAGAAAUGAAAAGACAGAUACAUAAUUCAAAAUGUGAUAGUUCUAAUAGAUUGAAUUUAAUUAAGAUGUAUUGAAAUUCGAUACCUCAUUGUAUAAAAAAUAUCAAUUUAUUUGGAAACAAGGUAAUAAAAGAAUAAUAUAGCCCAAAUGAUUAAUCUCUCUAAUUUUUUUGAAACUGACGUGUGAUAAACCCACAUCUUCCUUUCAAACUCAUACGUAUUGAUAAAAUCAAUGUUGUUUAAACAAUUAUCAAGAACACCUUGUUUGUGUGAUAUUAUUUAUCCUUCACAAGAUAAUUUUUUUAACAAUUCAAAUUCUUCUUUAUCAAGAAUAACUUAAAAAAACUAGAUUUUUUUAUUUUCAAUUGAAUUGUAGAUAAUAUUCUCCUUUAAAUUUAGGGAUAUAAAUUUUCCAAGCAAACAAACAUUAAUAUAUAAUACUUUUACUUUAUUGUUUAUGAAAUUGACAAAAUUAUAACUUUAUCUUCCAUAAAGAAUUCGAUACCUCUGUAAUUGAGGGCUGCAUACGAGGCUCCUCUGCAGCCAUCUCAAAAUCCUGCACAUCGCAUGCACAAGAAGCCGGGGCAUAGCUUAUUGAUGCGAAGACUCUAUCAACACUAAUAUUUUUUUCGACCACACGCAUUCCAAAAAUCAUUUCAGUAAUAUGACGAAACAUUUUUUUUAACUCUUCGUCAUUAUCUGGAAAUGGAAUGAAGAUUUCCUCUCCACUUAAAUCGGGAGUCCUAUCCUUGAUUUUGUAAACCACCCUAUACACACA
Molecule: long non-coding RNA, 1290 nt
Organism: Tribolium castaneum (red flour beetle)
Lineage: Eukaryota; Metazoa; Arthropoda; Insecta; Coleoptera; Tenebrionidae
Exons: 2
Source: RefSeq, a predicted model, not a curated record